RNAcentral lists this ribosomal RNA (706 nucleotides) under uncultured bacterium. RNAcentral describes it as "bacterial SSU rRNA". It matches the Rfam family "Bacterial small subunit ribosomal RNA", at positions 59 to 748 of the family's 1533-position model. The record is from RNAcentral.
CAGUCGAGGGGCAGCGGGGUAGGAAGCUUGCUUUCUGCCGCCGGCGACCGGCGCUUGGGUGAGUAACACGUAUGCAACCUGGCCGUGACAGAUGGAUAACCGGGAGAAAUCCCGCCUAAUACAACAUAAUGCCGGGAGGGGACAUCCCCUGCCGGCCAAAGGGGGCGACCCCGGUCACGGAUGGGCAUGCGGCGCAUUAGGUAGUUGGUGGGGCAACGGCCCACCAAGCCGACGAUGCGUAGGGGUUCUGAGAGGAAGGUCCCCCACAUUGGAACUGAGACACGGUCCAAACUCCUACGGGAGGCAGCAGUGAGGAAUAUUGGUCAAUGGCCGGAAGGCUGAACCAGCCAAGUCGCGUGAGGGAAUAAGGCCCUACGGGUCGUAAACCUCUUUUGCCAGGGAGCAAUGCCGUCCACGUGUGGACGGAAGGAGAGUACCUGGAGAAAAAGCAUCGGCUAACUCCGUGCCAGCAGCCGCGGUAAUACGGAGGAUGCGAGCGUUAUCCGGAUUUAUUGGGUUUAAAGGGUGCGUAGGCGGCCUGCCAAGUCAGCGGUAAAAUUGCGGGGCUCAACCCCGUACAGCCGUUGAAACUGCCGGGCUCGAGUGGGCGAGAAGUAUGCGGAAUGCGUGGUGUAGCGGUGAAAUGCAUAGAUAUCACGCAGAACCCCGAUUGCGAAGGCAGCAUACCGGCGCCCGACUGACGCUG